Molecule: ribosomal RNA, 253 nt
Filed under: uncultured bacterium
Lineage: Bacteria
Description: partial 16S ribosomal RNA
Rfam family: Bacterial small subunit ribosomal RNA
Source: RNAcentral
UACGUAGGGAGCAAGCGUUGUCCGGAAUUACUGGGCGUAAAGGGUGCGUAGGCGGCUUGGUAAGUCAGAUGUGAAAUACCCGUGCUUAACAUGGGGGGUGCAUCUGAUACUGUCAGGCUUGAGUGCAGGAGAGGAAAGCGGAAUUCCUAGUGUAGCGGUGAAAUGCAUAGAUAUUAGGAGGAACACCAGUGGCGAAGGCGGCUUUCUGGACUGUAACUGACGCUGAGGCACGAAAGCGUGGGGAGCAAGCAGG